RNAcentral lists this ribosomal RNA (455 nucleotides) under uncultured bacterium. RNAcentral's name for it is "bacterial SSU rRNA". It matches the Rfam family "Bacterial small subunit ribosomal RNA", at positions 340 to 785 of the family's 1533-position model. The record is from RNAcentral.
UACGGGAGGCAGCAGUGGGGAAUAUUGCACAAUGGGCGCAAGCCUGAUGCAGCCAUGCCGCGUGUAUGAAGAAGGCCUUCGGGUUGUAAAGUACUUUCAGUCGUGAGGAAGGUGUUAAGGUUAAUAACCUUAGCAAUUGACGUUAGCGACAGAAGAAGCACCGGCUAACUCCGUGCCAGCAGCCGCGGUAAUACGGAGGGUGCGAGCGUUAAUCGGAAUUACUGGGCGUAAAGGGCACGCAGGCGGUUAAUUAAGUUGGAUGUGAAAUCCCCGGGCUUAACCUGGGAAUGGCAUUCAAGACUGGUUAGCUAGAGUCUUGUAGAGGGGGUAGAAUUCCAUGUGUAGCGGUGAAAUGCGUAGAGAUGUGGAGGAAUACCGGGUGGCGAAGGCGGCCCCUGGGACAAAGGACUGACGCUCAUGUGCGAAAGCGUGGGGAGCAAACAGGGAUUAGAUAC